Molecule: ribosomal RNA, 253 nt
Filed under: uncultured bacterium
Lineage: Bacteria
Description: partial 16S ribosomal RNA
Rfam family: Bacterial small subunit ribosomal RNA
Source: RNAcentral
UACGUAGGGGGCUAGCGUUGUCCGGAAUCAUUGGGCGUAAAGGGUGCGUAGGCGGGUUUUUAAGUCAGGGGUGAAAUCCUGGAGCUCAACUCCAGAACUGCCUUCGAUACUGGAGAGCUCGAGUCCGGGAGAGGUGAGUGGAACUGCGAGUGUAGAGGUGAAAUUCGUAGAUAUUCGCAAGAACACCAGUGGCGAAGGCGGCUCACUGGCCCGGUACUGACGCUGAGGUGCGAAAGCGUGGGGAGCAAACAGG